This 446-nucleotide ribosomal RNA is filed under the name uncultured bacterium. Its description in RNAcentral is "partial 16S ribosomal RNA". It matches the Rfam family "Bacterial small subunit ribosomal RNA", at positions 338 to 795 of the family's 1533-position model. The record is from RNAcentral.
CCUACGGGUGGCAGCAGUCGAGAAUCAUUCACAAUGGGGGAAACCCUGAUGGUGCGACGCCGCGUGGGGGAAUGAAGGUCUUCGGAUUGUAAACCCCUGUCAUGUGGGAGCAAAUUAAAAAGAUAGUACCACAAGAGGAAGAGACGGCUAACUCUGUGCCAGCAGCCGCGGUAAUACAGAGGUCUCAAGCGUUGUUCGGAAUCACUGGGCGUAAGGCGUGCGUAGGCUGUUUCGUAAGUCGUGUGUGAAAGGCGCGGGCUCAACCCGCGGACGGCACAUGAUACUGCGAGACUAGAGUAAUGGAGGGGGAACCGGAAUUCUCGGUGGAGCAGUGAAAUGCGUAGAUAUCGAGAGGAACACUCGUGGCGAAGGCGGGUUCCUGGACAUUAACUGACGCUGAGGCACGAAGGCCAGGGGAGCGAAAGGGAUUAGAUACCCCAGUAGUC